GACGAACGCUGGCGGCGUGCUUAACACAUGCAAGUCGAACGGAAACGCCCUGCUUGUGUGGGGUGCUCGAGUGGCGAACGGGUGAGUAACACGUGAGUAACCUGCCCUUGACUUUGGGAUAACGUCAGGAAACUGGGGCUAAUAUCGGAUAGGAGCUCCUGCUCGAGGGAGGGGGUUGGAAAGUUUAGGCUGGCGGGGAUGGAGUCGGGGCUUACGGGCUUGUUGGUUGGGGGGUGGCUUACCAAGGCUUUGACGGGUAGGCGGCAUGGGUGGGUGACCGGCGACAUUGGGACUACGAUACGGCGCAGACUCCUACGGGAGGCAGCAGGGGGGAAUAUUGCACAAUGGGCGGAAGCGUGAUGAGGCAGCGCCGCGUGCGGGAUGACGGCCUUCGGGUUGUGAACCGCUUUCGCCUGUGACGAAGCGUGAGUGACGGUAAUGGGUAAAGAAGCACCGGCUAACUACGUG
This 468-nucleotide ribosomal RNA is filed under the name uncultured bacterium. RNAcentral describes it as "partial 16S ribosomal RNA". It matches the Rfam family "Bacterial small subunit ribosomal RNA", at positions 28 to 507 of the family's 1533-position model. The record is from RNAcentral.